CACAAUGGGCAAGGUUAAUAAGAAGUCACGGGUGGGCACCAUAGAGACAGACCCAUCUGCUUCACAUACCAACCUAACUCUGAAGAGCAAGAUUUCACUAAAGCUUAGAACUCCAGGUUCUGUUGAGGCCUGCUGUGAAUCCACUUCUAGAGGUGAUGAGAAGGAUCUAUAUGUCCUAAAAAGGAUAAAACGAAUCCUGAAAAGGAAGACAAAGAUGACAAUCUUGAAAAAAAAAACCACAACCACUCCUUCUGGGAAACCUAAGGAAGAUGGAAGAGCAAUACCAUACCCUGGAGAAAAUCAGUGGCUGAAAAAUAAGAAAAAAUACUGACAUAAACAAGAGAAAAAGCUUCAGGACAAGUUGAUGAUGCUGUGGGAUCAAUAUACACAGCUGCAGAAUGAGACAAAUGUACUGUGGAAUCAAUACUAUCAGAUGCACAGUCAGGUAAAGACACAAUUUGGCCAUGACAAGCAGGUGCAAGAUGAGGGGAAUACACAAUGUGAUCAAGAGAAACAACUACAGAGUCAGAUGAUCACAUUCUGUGGUCAAAAGAAUCAGCUGAAAUCAGAGGUUAAUGCACAAUUCAAUCAAGACAAACAUCUGAAAGAAGAGAUGAUUCCACACUUCACUCCAGACAAACAUCUGAAAAAGGAGGUGAUUGCACACUUUGAUCAAGAUAUGUGCCUGAAAGAGGAGGUUAUCACACCUUUCAGUCAAGACGUGCACCUGAAUGAAGAGGUGAUCACACAAUAUGAUUGAGACAUGAAGCUGAAAGAGGAGGUGAUCACACCAUUCAAUCAAGAUAAACAUAUGAAAGAAGAGGUGAUCACACAAUGUGAUCAGGACAAGCAGCCACAAAAGCAGAUGUUCACACUCUGUUAUCAAGACAAGCAUGUGAAAGAAGAAAUGAUCAUUCUCUGUUAUCAAGACAAGCAUCUGCAAGACCAGAUGUUUACAGUCUGUAUCAAGACAAACAAGUGAAAGAGGAGAUGAUUACCCUCUGCUAUAAACACAAGCAGCUGCAGAACCAAAUGUUCACACUCUGCUAUCAAGACAAGCAGGUUCAGGACCAAAUAUUCACACUCUGCUAUCAACACAAACAGGUGAAACAGGAGAGAAUCACCUUCUGCUACCAUGACAAGCAGGUGAAUCAGAGGAGCUUCACCCUCUGCAAUCAACAAAAGCAGCUGCAGAACCAGAUGAACACACUCUGGGACUACAACAACCAGUGGCAGGAGGAGAUGAACACUGUGUCAGCUCAGGAACAACAUGCCAUAGCUGGAUCACCCAUCUCCACUGCUGAUUUCAAUAGGCUGAAGUCUCAGAACACAGCCAGAAUUGCCAGACAUACAUUUUAGUCGUCAAGUUGUUCAGAAAUGUCCACUUAUUACAUUCAAUGCUAUACAGUGAGAUUUGCAAAAAUAAAUUCAUUCUGACUUGAAAA
Peromyscus eremicus (cactus mouse) is the source of this 1445-nucleotide long non-coding RNA. RefSeq lists it as uncharacterized. NCBI's taxonomy places the organism in Eukaryota, Metazoa, Chordata, Mammalia, Rodentia, Cricetidae. The transcript has 2 exons. The record is from RefSeq and is a predicted model, not a curated record.